AUGUUCACUGCCGCGUCCGUUGGUGGAUUUAGAUUUCGCGGCUUCGCGCAACGUCCGGCUAUCGGAACUAGGGGAGGCAUCCUAUUGCUUUGGGAUGAGAACCUUCUUGAUGUCAAUGACAUUGUCGCAACCAACUACUGUUUGUCAGCCUCUGUGCAAAUUCGUUCAUCCGGAAUCUGCUUCAAGGCAACAACUGUCUAUGGCCCCACGGACCAGGCUAGCAAAGAUGCUUUCUUUGCGGAGAUCACCGCCCACAAGCCGUUGCAGGAUAUGGCAUGGCUCGUCCUAGGGGACUUCAACCAGAUCUACCGAGCUAGAGACAAAAAUAAAAGGAACGUGAAUCGUAGUAGGAUCAACCGCUUCCGGUCUGUGUUGCAAACCUGCGAUCUCAAGGAAAUCCACCUCCAGAAUCGGCGUUUUACAUGGAGCAAUGAGCGUAAUAACCCAUCGCUAUGCAAGCUCGACUCAUUCUUCUGCAAUGCCGAGUGGGACACCACUUUCAACACUCAUGUCCUCCAUGCCCUGUCGUCCUCCCUCUCCGACCACUGCCCCUUACUGCUAGCUGAUGACAAGGGGCCGAGACGGCCUCGAUCCUUCAAGUUCGAAAACUUCUGGGUUUCUUUGCCUAGAUUUCAUGAGGUGGUCCAAAAAGCUUGGAAUGAGCCAAUGCAGCACUCUGAACCUUACCUAAGGCUUCACCAUAAACUCAAAAAGACUGCUUUGCGGCUUUCUGAGUGGAGCAAGAAUAUGUUCUCUAAGGCCAAGAUCCACCUACAUGCAGCCCACAUGGUCAUCCUUCGCCUGGACAUUGCUCAAGAGGAGCGGACUCUCUCUGUGGAGGAGCUAGACCUU
Molecule: ribosomal RNA, 852 nt
Filed under: Triticum aestivum (bread wheat)
Lineage: Eukaryota; Viridiplantae; Streptophyta; Magnoliopsida; Poales; Poaceae
Description: partial small subunit ribosomal RNA
Source: RNAcentral